AUUAGAGGCGCGUUUUUUAAAGAGUAUUCCGUAUAUUAUUUGUGCGAAAAUCGGAAGAAAGGGAAGAAAUGCCGAAAGCGAAUAUUCUCGCACGGGUAUUCGGCUUGGUCGCUCGGAUAAUAUCCGUCCGAUUGUCGCCAGAUAGGGCGGAGGGCUAUUUGU
Molecule: non-coding RNA, 162 nt
Filed under: human gut metagenome
Description: Lysine riboswitch
Rfam family: Lysine riboswitch aptamer
About the family: Riboswitches are metabolite binding domains within certain messenger RNAs that serve as precision sensors for their corresponding targets. Allosteric rearrangement of mRNA structure is mediated by ligand binding, and this results in modulation of gene expression.
Source: RNAcentral